Long non-coding RNA from Cyprinodon variegatus (sheepshead minnow), 690 nucleotides. RefSeq lists it as uncharacterized. NCBI's taxonomy places the organism in Eukaryota, Metazoa, Chordata, Actinopteri, Cyprinodontiformes, Cyprinodontidae. The transcript has 3 exons. The record is from RefSeq and is a predicted model, not a curated record.
ACAGCUGAACUAUUACCCCGUUUACACUACCUUUAAAAAACUGAGCCGAGACCGGUCCGAGCUCAGUAACUGAGAUAACUUGUCGUGUGUGAACGGAAACAACCUGAACUGAACCGAGAUAGACAUAACCGGACCGCGCUAACUGCAGACCAGUUCCCGAGGUGGGUUCGGCUCGGUUUUAUCCUGGCUCGGUUCUCUGAUAACAAGAGCGCAUGAGCAGAACGCGUCAUCGCCGACUGGCUGAACAUGCCGAUUCACACUCCAUUCCAGAAAGUCGGCUUCCCAAAAGCCGACUUUCUCAAGUACAUCCGCGCAAGGUUGCCGUCUUCGCCUGACCCACCGCAAACACGGAAGUACAGCAAUAAUAAUCAAGCAUAACUUUCUGAAUGUGACGGGCGCCGCCAUUUUGAUUUGCUUGAUUCCCUCCUCCUUCGUCUUCUUCUUCUUGGGUUUUACGGCGGUUGACAAACAGCGUUUGGUGCAUUACCGCCACCAGCUGCUUGAGUCCCUCCUUCAAUCCUAGCAGUAAUACCUCACAUCGUCACUAGGAGGCGAGGAGUCAAGGAGUCGAGAUAACCGAGAUAAGUGUGACGUGUGAACGGUCGUCAAAACUGAGCUUGGCCUGGUUACCGAUCCAAGCUCGGACCGGUCUCGGCCUGGAUCGGUUUUUCAAGGGUAGUGUAAAUGGGG